Molecule: ribosomal RNA, 396 nt
Filed under: uncultured bacterium
Lineage: Bacteria
Description: partial 16S ribosomal RNA
Rfam family: Bacterial small subunit ribosomal RNA
Source: RNAcentral
CCUACGGGUGGCAGCAGUGAGGAAUAUUGGUCAAUGGUCGGGAGCCUGAACCAGCCAAGUCGCGUGAGGGAAGAAGGUUCUGAGUAUUUUAAACCUCUUUUGCCAGGGAACAAAGGCGGCCACGCGUGGCCGUAAGCGGGUACCUGGAGAAAAAGCAUCGGCUAACUCCGUGCCAGCAGCCGCGGUAAUACGGAGGAUGCGAGCGUUAUCCGGAUUAAUGGGGGUAAAAGUGGGCGCAGGCGGGGUGUCAAGUCAGAGGGAAAAUGUCGGGGCUCAACCCCGGCCGGCAUUUGAAACUGGCGUACUCGAGUUGGGGAGAGGGAUGCGGAAUUCGUGGUGUAGCGGUGAAAUGCGUAGAUAUCACGAGGAACCCCAAUGGCGAAGGCAGCAUACUGG